GAUGAACGCUGGCGGCGUGCCUAACACAUGCAAGUCGAGCGGGAUGCCAUUGAAUUGUACCUUCGGGUACAAGCCGAUGGUACUCUAGCGGCGGACGGGUGAGUAUCGCGUGGGCAAUCUGCCUCUAGGUGGGGAAUAACCGUGAGAAAUCACGACUAAUACCGCAUAACACACGCUCUCGCAUGGGAGUGUGUUAAAAGAUUUAUCGCCAAGAGAUGAGCCCGCGUCUGAUUAGCUAGUUGGUAGGGUAACGGCCUACCAAGGCGACGAUCAGUAGCCGGCCUGAGAGGGUGAACGGCCACACUGGGACUGAGACACGGCCCAGACUCCUACGGGAGGCAGCAGUGGGGAAUAUUGCACAAUGGGCGCAAGCCUGAUGCAGCAACGCCGCGUGAAGGAUGAAGGGUUUCGGCUCGUAAACUUCUAUCGAUCGGGAAGAAAAAAAUGACGGUACCGAUGUAAGAAGCCCCGGCUAACUACGUGCCAGCAGCCGCGGUAAUACGUAGGGGGCAAGCGUUAUCCGGAAUUACUGGGUGUAAAGGGUGAGUAGGCGGUUUUCUAAGCCAUAUGUGAAAGCUACGGGCUUAACCCGUAAAUUGCAUAAGGAACUGGGGAACUAGAGUUAUGGAGAGGUAAGCGGAAUUCCUAGUGUAGCGGUGAAAUGCGUAGAUAUUAGGAGGAACACCAGUGGCGAAGGCGGCUUACUGGACAUUAACUGACGCUGAGGCACGAAAGCGUGG
This 740-nucleotide ribosomal RNA is filed under the name uncultured bacterium. Its description in RNAcentral is "bacterial SSU rRNA". It matches the Rfam family "Bacterial small subunit ribosomal RNA", at positions 28 to 764 of the family's 1533-position model. The record is from RNAcentral.